GAGAGGGAAUGUAGUAUUGACAUGUAAGCAAAAUUAAAACAAUCACUACUAGCUUAAGGAAUAGACUUUUGGAAAUCUCAUAGAAAAGGAUGCAUUCUUAAAAGUACUUUUAAUUUUGGUCGAAAUUUGAAUAUUUAAUGCAAAACAAAAGAAACAGAAAAUAUACGUAAGAAUAAAUUUAAAUCUUAUGUUACUAGAAAUAUUGGUUUGUGAAUCUGAAGUGUUGUGGAAUAUAGAUUUAUUUGUGGUUUAGUGUUUGAAUAUUUUUCUAGUAAAAAUGGCAGAUAUAGUGUUUUUAGAACCUCACAUGUUUAUAAAAGAUUAAAAUGGCAGAUAUAGUAAUUGUUUAAUAUUUUUCGCAGGUAUUUUUUUUUGUUUUUCAACUAGUUAUAAAAACCUGAAAUUAUUUGAAUAACAUAAGUGAGAUACAAAAAAUAUAUAUGAAUAGUAAGUAAUAGAUGAAGAAAAAUAUGUUUUGCUAACUUGUGCACAUUUAUUUUUCUUUAUUUUAUUUACAUAUGAAAUAAACAAAUUUAAACACACAAUUG
RNAcentral lists this long non-coding RNA (548 nucleotides) under Brassica napus (rape). RNAcentral describes it as "long non-coding RNA (BNAP_LNC002351)". The record is from RNAcentral. Lineage: Eukaryota; Viridiplantae; Streptophyta; Magnoliopsida; Brassicales; Brassicaceae.